This 254-nucleotide ribosomal RNA is filed under the name uncultured bacterium. RNAcentral's name for it is "partial 16S ribosomal RNA". It matches the Rfam family "Bacterial small subunit ribosomal RNA", at positions 524 to 776 of the family's 1533-position model. The record is from RNAcentral.
UACGAAUGGAGCGAGCGUUGUUCGGAAUCACUGGGCGUAAAGCGUGCGCAGGCGGUCUUGAAAGUCAGGAGUGAAAUCCCAGGGCUUAACCCUGGAAUUGCUUUUGAAACUCCAAGACUAGAGUACUGGAGGGGUUGGCGGAAUUUCGAGUGUAGCAGUGAAAUGCGUAGAUAUUCGAAGGAACACCGAUGGCGUAGGCAGCCAACUGGACAGUUACUGACGCUCAUGCACGAAAGCGUGGGGGAUCAAACAGG